Cyprinus carpio (common carp) is the source of this 534-nucleotide long non-coding RNA. RefSeq lists it as uncharacterized. The record is from RefSeq and is a predicted model, not a curated record. The transcript is spliced from 2 exons. NCBI's taxonomy places the organism in Eukaryota, Metazoa, Chordata, Actinopteri, Cypriniformes, Cyprinidae.
AUUUCUAAAACAGUUUAAUUUAAGUAAAAAAAAAAAGAGUUAAAUGGAACAAUAAAAUAAUACACACAUUAAUGUAUUAUUUCCAGUCCUCUAUACAAUUGCCAUUUCAAUGUUCAUUUUAUAAUGUGUGUGUCUAUGGGGUCCCUUCACAGGUUCUCCAGUCAUGUCAAUAAAGGCUAUAAGCUUGACUGCUGUCUGUCUGAUAAAGACACACAUGUUCUGAGCUGUUCAGAAGAUGGCCAUGUUUAAUUCUGGGAUCUGGUGGAGGGCUCACUGACUUUAGAGCUGCCUGUUGGGGAAGCUGUCGUCCAAUCACUGUCCUUACACCCAACGGAGCCCCGCCUUUCAUCUGCUAUGGAGGGGUUUGUUCAGGUGUGGGGGUGGAGCCAGAGGAUCCAGCUGUGGAAGACAGCUGAGUAGUGCGUGUUGAACAUCAAACACAUGAGCAGGACUCAUUGAAGAUGAAGUGUGAAUAACUUUUGUAUGAGUUUGUUAUUCAUAAUUUGUAUUUAAUAAAAUAUAUUGUUUUUUUAA